RNAcentral lists this ribosomal RNA (404 nucleotides) under uncultured Hyphomicrobiales bacterium. Its description in RNAcentral is "bacterial SSU rRNA". It matches the Rfam family "Bacterial small subunit ribosomal RNA", at positions 355 to 776 of the family's 1533-position model. RNAcentral also lists the same sequence under 1 other name. The record is from RNAcentral. Lineage: Bacteria; Pseudomonadati; Pseudomonadota; Alphaproteobacteria; Hyphomicrobiales.
UGGGGAAUAUUGGACAAUGGGCGCAAGCCUGAUCCAGCCAUGCCGCGUGAGUGAUGAAGGCCCUAGGGUUGUAAAGCUCUUUCGCCAGGGACGAUAAUGACGGUACCUGGAUAAGAAGCCCCGGCUAACUUCGUGCCAGCAGCCGCGGUAAUACGAAGGGGGCUAGCGUUGUUCGGAAUCACUGGGCGUAAAGCGCACGUAGGCGGAUCUUUAAGUCAGGGGUGAAAUCCCGAGGCUCAACCUCGGAACUGCCUUUGAUACUGGAGGUCUCGAGUCCGGGAGAGGUGAGUGGAACUGCGAGUGUAGAGGUGAAAUUCGUAGAUAUUCGCAAGAACACCAGUGGCGAAGGCGGCUCACUGGCCCGGAACUGACGCUGAGGUGCGAAAGCGUGGGGAGCAAACAGG